UAUGAAGAUGCUGUUAUAUAUGGAUUAAUAAAGUGAGUACUUCGCUAUACAGGAAUUAUUGACUGAUUUGUACAAAACAUCACAGUGGCAGCAGGGAUAGCUGAAUGUUUUGAAAUAAAUUGGUAUAUUUAUAUCCCUCCAUGGCAAGACCACUUACUAUUAUCUCACAUAUAUUAUUAUUAUUCUUAUUGAGCAAGUUGGAGCAGUUUGUUUUUAACCGCUUUUCUCUGCCCUAUUUGAAAUCUAUUAGUUCCUGUUGGCAGUUGGUGGAAUGUUCGAGGGAUUUGAAAGCUCUUCUCUGCCCUUGCUGUAGAGUGAGUGAACCACACUCCAACCUUUCCAGUUACUCCAUCCACUCAAGCUUAUAAAACCUGGACUUCUCUCUCACACAAAGACUUAUUUACCAUAAAUUUUACAUCCUAACGCCACGUGUUGACAUCUAACUUACAAAUGAGCUAUGUUCCACACAUUGUAAAAGGGUCCAAAAAUGUAAAUGAUUGUGUGUGUGUGUGUGUGUGUGUGUGUGUGUGUAUUAAGGGAAAACUAUAAAAGCUACAAUUUCUGGGGAAAUUGUGUGAAGUGUUCUUGCCUCCACCAGUAGUCUACAACUGGAGUGGGCGGAGUAACUUAUUUAUUUAUAUAGCACAUUUAACCCUUUUAGGACGAGUGACGGACGAGGUCUGUCACAGAGGGGGAGACUCUUAGUGACGGACCUUGUCCGUCACGCGGUAAAAUUAAUCCCGGAUUGCGGGGUUAAUGGUGCUCCAGUAUGCCUCUGUAUUGGAGGCAGACCGGGAGCACUCGAUAGUGCUUAGUAUACUUACCUUCCGCCUCCCUGUGUGACGUGCAGGGAGCCGGAACAGUGCUGAUCCUGCCCCCUGUUAAAAAAAAAAAAAAAAAAAGUUAAAGUCCCCCACUCCCUCUUUAACCAUUGUAAUAAAAAAUUAACCACUUCCCUGCCAAUUAAUCACUGACUACAGUGAUCAAUUGGCAGGGAUUACAUUUUACUAUGAUCUGAAUAUUUUUUUUUUAACCCCUGAGGGUUAAUUCUUUUUUACAUUUAUUUAAUUUAAAAAUUCUAUAUUUAGCUAUCUGGGGUGGGUGGAAGUUAGUGGGGAAUUGGAAGAUUUGACGUUAGGCUAACUAGGGGUUAACGUUAAAAAAAAAAAAGUUUUAAAAUAAACUUUAAAAAGUUAACUAAGUUUAAAAAAAGUUUUAAUAACGUUUAAGUAAAAAAUUACCCAGUCCAAAUAAAAAUUAACCCCUUCCCUGCCAGUCGAUCAAUGCCUACAGUGAUCAAAUACAGAUCACAGUAUUAUACUCUGAUCUAAUUUUUUUAACCCUGUGAGGAUUAACUUUUAUUUAUUUUUUUUUAACCCACAGGGGUUCAAUUUAUUUAAUUAAUUUAAAUAUUUUAUAACUAUAUAUAUAUAUAUAUUUUGCUAGCUGGGGUGGGUGGGACUUAUGGGAAAAUGGGGAAUUUACUGUUAGUGCUGCUUACUGCUAGUUAGGGGUUAACGGUAAAAAAAAAGCUUAGAAAAAUGUUAAAUCUGUGGGGGGGAAAAAAAAAAUUAAGAAAGUUAAGGAAAGUUUAAAAAAAAAUGUAAUAAGCAAAACAAAAGUUUAAAAACUAGUUUUUAAAAGUAAAAAAAAAUAAAUAAAUGUUUUUUACUACACCUGGAACAAACUAGAGACAAUAUUAUCCCACGCCAAGGUUCAAAAUAUGCCUUUUGAAUUACCCCAGGGUGUAUUCUUUAAUAAAUAGUAUGUGUUUGUGGGGAAGUUUCAAUAACCAACCAUCUAAACUACUCCAAAUUGGAACAUGGACACAGCGUAAAACUUCAAAGUUAGAAAAAAACUGGCUGCGUCUCAAAUGCGCCCCUUUAACAUCCACAUAUACCUGGCAAAGGUACAUACGGGGGUAUUGCUGUACUCAGCCGACAUAGCUGAGCAACAUAUGAAGUGUUAUACAGUCGUAGCGCACAUAAGGUUUGCAAAAUAUACUGUGCAAACUCACUUUGUGUGUCAAAAAGGCAGAAAAAAUGCUUACUUACUUGGUACGUGCUAGCGGAAAAAUGAUCCCACGCUAAGGUUCAAAAUAUGCCUUUUGAAAUACCCUGGGCUAUCUUCUUUAAGAAAUGGUAUGGCCUUAUGGGGUAUUUGGAUUAUAUAGCCUGGUAAAAUACUCUAAAAUGGGACAUGGGCACAGCGUAAAAAUUUAAAGUUUGACAAAAAACUGGAAUGGCUGUGUCCCAAAUGUGCCCCUCCGAUGUCCACAUAUACCUGGCAAAGGUACAUACGGGGGUAAUUGCUGUACUCAGCCGACAUAGCUGAGCGGAAAAAUGAUCCCACGCUAAGGUUCAAAAUAUACCUUUUGAAAUACCCUGGGGUGUCUACUUUAAGAAAUGGUAGGCCUUUGUGGGGUAGUUUGAAUUUAAAACCUGUGAAGAUGCUUGGAAAUUGCACAUAGGCCCAGCGUCAAAAUUCAAAGUUCGGUAAAAACUGAUAUGGCUUGGUCUCCUAUAUGGCACUGUAGCUUCACGAAAUAGUGCCAAAGACAUUCAUUGGGGGUGUCUUUUUACUCAGAAGACUUAGCUGAGCAUAAUUUGGGAGGUUUGAACUUAGUGACACAUAUGAAAUAUACAAAACGCCCAGCAAAAAUGCAAUUCGUAUGUUAAAAAAAAAUGCACAAAAUUAUUUUUUACCACAUAUAUUGGUGGAAAAAAUGGGGCAUGUUAAGGCACAAUAUGCACCUUAUGAGAUGCCCGGGAGUGUCUAAUUUUACAAAUGGUAGGCCUUUGUGGGGUUUUGAACAGUCAAACUGUUACAAUACCUCAAAUGGAAGCUAAGGCUCAUUAAAUCCAUCUCAAAAUUCUACUGUGAAUACUGAAAAGGACAGGUCUCCUAUAUGGCACUGUAGCUUCACGACAUAGUGCCAAAGACAUACAAUGGGGGUGUCUUUUUACUCAGAAGACUUAGCUGAGCAUAAUAUGGGGGGUUUGAACUUAGUGGCACAUAUGAAAUAUACAAAAUGCCCAGCAAAAAUGCAAUCCAUAUGUAAAAAAUGCAGAGUCAACAAUUCUUAAUCUUAGGUCUUCUGAGAGCUCUUUUGUGCGAGGCAUCAUUCACAUCAGGCAAUGCUUCUUGUGAAAAGCAAACCCAGGACUGGUGUGUUUUUUAUAGGGCAGGGCAGCUGUAACCAACACCUCCAAUCUCAUUUCAUUGAUUGGACUCCAGUUGGCUGACAUCUCACUCCAAUUAGCUCUUGGAGAUGUCAUUAGUCUAGGGGUUCACAUACUUUUUCCACCUGCACUGUGAAUGUUUACAUGGUGUGUUCAAUAAAAAAACAUGAACAUUUCAUUCUUUGUGUGUUAUUAGUUUAAGCAGACUGUGAUUGUCUAUUGUUGUGACUUCGAUGAUCAGAUCACAUUUUAUGACCAAUUUGUGCAGAAAUCCAUAUCAUUCCAAAGGGUUCACAUACUUUUUCUUGCAACUGUGGGUAUGUAUGUAUGUAUUUUUUAAUUUUUUAUGUUUACACUUUUUAAUUUUAUUUUAUUUCCAGCCAGCAGUGGGACUAACUGUCAUUACAGGCAGUACCCCUGCUGGCAAUGCAGUAGGCAGCUAACCCGGCCAUAUGACUGUAAGGUCCUCGGAAAGACCUCACUCUCACAUGGCCGGGGGGGGACACUGCAGAACGGAGUAUUCGCCACGGGGGGCUCCCUGGGAGUCCCCCCAACCGCGAUCGCCGGCGUAGGAUCGCCAGUGAGCGGGUAAGUAAGAAAAAACUGGAGGGCGUAAUAGUACGCCCUCCGGUUUUAAGGGGUUAAUUGCAACGUAUUUGCCCAAAGUGCUUCAGUUACAUUAACCCCUUAAGGACCGGCCUCUUUUUGCAAUCUUGUACGUUAAGGACCAGAGCUGUUUUAACACUUUUGUGGUGUUUGUGUUUAGCUGUAAUUUUCCUCUCUCUCAUUUACUGUUCCCAUACAAAUCAUAUAUUUUUUUUUUUUUUGUCAGAACAAGGACUUUCUUUACAUACCAUUUAUUUGUAUAAUGUCACAUAUUUUAUUUUAAAAAAAUAAAAUAAAAUAUGGUGAAACAUUGAGGGGAAAAAAAAACCAUGUUUUUGGACUUUUACUUGAAAAAUCUUUUACUGAUCUACAAAAGCUAAUGGAAAAAAAACUGCUAAAUAUCUAAAAAUUUUGUCCUGAGUUUAAAAAUAGAUGCUUUUUUGGCAAGUUAUAGGCCUAUAAAUAUAAGAAGGGAGUGUGUGUGUAUAUGUAUGUAUGUAUGUGUUAAAUUUAUCAAUGGUGACAUUGUAACACCGUUAUCUGUCAUAAAUCCCCGAAUCAAAUGUUUCUCUUUUUUUUUUUUUUUUUUAGACAACCCAGUGUCCAGUCUUUGGGUAUGUCCAGUCUUUGUGACUAAGUGGCUACUAAAAAAGGCUGAACAUACCCCAUUUGCAAUAGCUUGGGUUUUUUUUUUUUUUUUUGCUUAUGGUAUGCCAUCAUAGGGCUAAUUCUCAUUCCUGGGCUAACAUACGCUCUCAAAGGCAACCUAACCAAUCUGACAAAUUUCAAUAAAAAAAGUAAAAUCAAGCCUUAUAUUUGACCCUGUAACUUUCACAAACACUAUAAAACCUCUACAUGUGGGGUACUGUUAUACUCAGGAGACUUCGCUGAACACAAAUAUUAGUGUAUCAGAACAGUAACAUGUAUCACAGCAAUAAUAUCAUAAGUGAAAGUGCCGUUUGUGUGUGAAAAAUGCAAACAACGUCCCUUUCACAAUAUAAUCGCUGUGAUAUGUUUUACUGUUUUGAAACCCUAAUAUUUAUGUUCAGCGAAGUCUCUCGAGUAAAACAGUUCCUCCCAUGUACAGGUUUUAGGGUGUCAUAGAAAGUUUACAGGGCUAGCAAAUUAAAUUCUCUGGACUUUUGGCCGGGGUUGGCAAGCAGGUCCUUCAAUUGCAAUCAUUAAAAUUACUUAAUUAGGUAAAAAUAUUACAUAAAUAUGCACGUAGAAUUUUAAUAUAUAUACAUAUUUAUAUAUUUGUCUACGUGCAUAUUUAUGAGAUUAUUUAUGUAAUUAUGUAUAUGGACAUGUGUAUUUCAUAUCUAUCAAAAUACUGUUUAAAAAUAUAUAUGUAAUUUUAUUCUUUUAAAAUAUUUUACUUUAUAUUUUAUUAUUUAUAAUAUAUACAAUAUAUAGUGAUAUAUUGUGUGUAAUUUAAAUUAAAAGUAUUUUAUAUUAUACGUAUAUAAAAUACAUUUAGUAUGAUAUAUACGUGUAUGUGUGUGUGUGUGUGUGUAUGUAUGUAUGUAUGUAUAUAUGUAUGUAAUUUUCACUGAUGGAUUUAUUUAACUUUUUUCUGAUUUUCUACUUGCAGGGAGACUGCCUGUCAGCACAGACAGUCCCCUUGCAGGUGUGAUCACGUGGCUGCGGGGUCCUGAUCUGCCGAGGGGAGACUGCCCGGGCAGGCAGGCAGUCGUGUUUCCCCCCUCCCCCACCCUCCCGGACUGGGAGGAGCACUGGUAAGUAGCCCCAGACCGUUAUGACGGUUCAGGACAGUCAUCGGUCCCCAAGGGGAUUUUUCUGAUGACGGUCCUGAACCAUAAUCGGUCGUCGAGGGGUUAAAACAUACAUUCAUAAAAAAAUUAGCAGUUGUACAAAAGGCCCUGUCUAUGACAUCACUUGCUGCUCCACCCUGGCACAGGUCAGAGUAUUUUGGCGGUUGCCAUAUUCAAAUGGUCGUAUUUUAUAAACUAUAAAUCCUACAGCGAAGAGAAUCACAAGACCCAGACCUACAAAUUGCAAACAAAUGGUCAUAUUGUGAAAACUGUCUGGACUAUGGCUUAGCCGUGGACACGUUUAGUGGCAGCAGGGAUAGCUGAAUGUUUUGAUAUAAGAUUUGUGUAGGUGGGCUUGAAAAUGUGGGAGUGGUGGCAAUUUAGAAAUUAUGUCUUGAUUUUUCUGCUUUUGUCAGCUCCCACUCUAGUUUUGAACAUUUUGCCAUUCAUUCCUAUGGGACCUAUUUCGCCACAAGAACGAUAUUCUGUGAACCAUUCGGUGAAACGUUCCAAAGUAAUAGCAAUCCAAUCGGGAACAAUCCGCACGUUUCGGUAUAUUACUGUCUAUGUAGUGUAAAAACUGUGGGAGGAGUGAGGGUGGUAAACUUGGCUAUAAUAAGAAUAAUAUAUGUGAGAACAUAAGUGGUCUUGCUAUGCAAGAACACUUAAUGACAACCCAUUAGGACUGAAUGGAUUCCAAAGCCAAACCUAGAAUUUGAGCUAUAUGUUUGUUUAACCAUAAUUUACCUCUUUUUAUAUUAAGUCCACCCACACUUAUUUUUAUUUAUCAUUUUGUUUAGGAGUAACCUGGUUUAGUUUGCAGGGGUGCAGUGCUUAGUUCCUUAAUUGGUCUAUGAGAUAUUGCUCUCUCCUGGUGCUCCUCCUAUAUCUCCCAGCGCUCUUUCAGUGUUUUUUUUUUUCUCUGGCUCUGCUUCUUCUCCCCAACUCCUCUCUGUUGGUGUCCCCCAAGGUUCAGUCCUUGGUCCCCUACUGUUCUCCAUCUGUACUGCCUCCCUUGGUAAACUCAUUAGCUCCUUUUGGCUUCCAAUAUCAUUUCUAUGCAGAUGACACACAAAUCUACCUGAUCUCUCCCCGUCCCUCUUGACUAGUGUAUCUGACUGCCUCUUUGCUGUUUCUAACUGGACGGCUGCCCACUUCUUAAACUAAACUUGACCAAAACUGAAAUUCUGGUCUUUCCUCCCUCAAGUGUUACUCUUGUGUCUCCCUCCAAGUCAACGGUGCUACCAUCAGCUCCACCACGCAGGCUCGCUGCCUAGGUGUUCUCUUUGACUCCGACCUCUCCUUCAAGCCUCAUGUUCAAUCUAUCGCCAAAUCCUGUCAUUUCCAUCUAAAAAACAUUGCGCGCAUCUGCCCCUACUUAACGCCAGAUGCGACUAAGCUGUUGGUCCAUUCCACUGGCCUUUCUCGCCUUGACUACUGUAAUUCGCUUCUCAGUGGUCUUACGUGCUCCCAACUUGUGCCGUUACAGUCCAUAUUGAAUGUGGCGGCGAGGCUCAUCUUCCUGUUCGCCCGCACCUCCCAUGCCUCACCCUUCUGUCAGUCCCUACAUUGGCUUCCUGUAAGAUAGAGGGCUCAAUUUAAAAUUCUGGUUCUUGCUUUCAAAUCUCUACAUAAUACUACUCCCACCUUUCUAUCCUCCCUUAUGCACAAGUAUAUCCCGUCUAGGCCCUUACGAUCUGCUGAAGACUUAAGUCUAUCUUCUCUCCGUACUCCCACCUCUGAUGCUCGCCUUCAAAAUUUCUCGAGGGCUGCACCGUUCCUGUGGAACUCGCUUCCCUCCUCCGUUAGAUGCUCACCCAGUCUCCACUCCUUCAAAAAAUCGUUAAAAACACACUUCUUCAUAAAAGCGUAUCAAUUAAACUGUUAAUAGCUUCUGACUUAUUCCUCUUCUGCAACUGUCACUAAUCUAAUACUAUCCUUACCCUUUUGUCAUUUUACCCCACUCACUCUAGCAUGUAAGCUCAUUGAGUAGGGCCCUCAACCCGUCUGUUCCUGUGUGUCCAACUUGUCUGGUUACAACUACAUGUCUGUUCGUCCACCCAUUGUAAAGCGUUGCGGAAUUUGACGGCGCUCUAUAAAUAUAAUAAUAAAAAAUAAUAAUUGAGAAAGCACUCUGCUGAUCCUUUUAACCUGAGUUGACUGUGGCUUGCACUGGGAAACUAAACGGGAACAGAUUAUCUAAAGUACCUUAGAAGAAAGUAAUCUUUAUCUGCCCUCCUAGAAGUAUUGUUUUUUUUUAUUUUCUAUAAUUUUUUUCACCAUUUACUUGCAGGCUGCUUGUGCUGACAGUGGGACUUUAGUUAAAAUGGAAGGAAUUCACAGAGUAUACAUUUAUUCCCCUGUAUUUUAUCCUUUAAUGAAUCUGCCUUAAGUAAUGGUUAUCCAUUAAUAGAGUAUCUCAAUUUAUUGCAGUUUCAAUAGGUUUUCAUACAGAAAAUAAAUUGCACCCAGUAAUUAUGUAAUGCUCGUGAGGAGCUAUUCUGCCGUCACGUUCUGUUUCUAAUAGUGCAUAAAACAGGUUCAUUCUAGUACUUUGGCUGUUUGGGUGCACAUCUCAAGUAAUAGAAUCGAGCCCUGUGUAUGUACAUGUAUGUUAUACUGAUGGACAGCAGAGGGUGCUCUCUGAGUACAAUAUUAGACACAAGUCAAUUUCAUAUUUCACAAAGCAAAUGAAACCGCAAUGGAUGAGUGUGGCAAAACCAACCUCGCCACUGGGCAUUGGAGAAGCCUGUUUGCCUGCCUGCUGACUAUGGCCACCGGGAGAUUUGGCCCUUUAAAUACAGUAUUUGGGCAUAUUGCAUUUUAUUAUGCUGCUGCUGGCCUUUUAAGAACCAUCUGGGGACAUACUGUGGAGUUACUGGGUGGCCACCAUUUCCUGUAUCAGAGGCACAUGGUGAGAACAAUAGAUGGCGGCCAUUUUUACUCAGAUACUAUUUGGACCUUUCUACACGGUGCCAUCUCGCCAGUAUUUGGUGCACGAAGACAUCGUUCAGUAGUUUUAAACUAUACUACAGGGGACACAUUAUACGGCAAUUAUUUUUCAUAUAGCCUGUAUAUGUUCUGCGGAAUCUGCAUUAAACUGCAUCUUCCAGACUACUGAACGGAUCUGGGUGAAUUUUGGAUAUGUGGUUCACCCAGAUCACCCGGUUUCGAUGAUAUACUUUUUAUGGGGUUAUUGCAUGUUUUGGGGUCCCUGUGAUGUUUUAUGAUACUGUAUUUCUCUGCCUGUGAUAAUUAGAUUAACCAUUGUGUUCAGUAAUCAUAUCACAGGCAGAGGGGAGGAUUCUGUGUGGGAGUGUCUGUGUGUAUUGUACAGAUUGGUUGUAUUUCAAAACCCUGUGGGCAGUACUAUGUUUGUGGAUUGUCAAUAAAAAAGGCUGUAUGUACCAGUACAGUCAGUUCUGCUUGACCUCAAAACGAAGUGUCGUCUCGUUAUUGGGGGAAUUGGAUUGUAUGCUGAUUGCCAGGAGUGUAAGCUGAUUGUAUGCUUUUCCUUUUCAGCUGCUUACAGCAUUCAUAUGCUUGAGAGUAUUCGUUUGCUCCGGUUUGGUGGUUGUGGUGUCUGCUGCAGUGCUUGGAGUCCUCAGGAAGUGCUAGGAGCAUCCUUCAACGGAGGUACUCAGUCGGGGUGCCAGGUGAUCCGUUACAAUGAGCAGUUUCGUUUAUUUUAUGAUUCAGAUGUCACUGCUGGUCAGAAUUUGCUAGACAAAUACCAGAUUAAAAUGUAUAUUAAUAGUGUAAAAAAAAAAAGUGCCUAUGGCGAUUAAUAUGAAACACAAAUUAGCAGAAGGGAGAUUUAAUACUCCUGACAUGCCACGAGUGAUGGGAUAUAUACUAAACAGUGAGCAGCCAGUUAUUGCAUCAGAUGGGAACAGAAAUUAAAUUAUGCCUGGUGAACAGGCCAUCUAGGGCCACACUUUUCUUUAAUUUUAAUUAGCACCCACAUUAUGUACAUGAUUUAUUGUUCCACCUUGUUAUAUUAGACCACAGCUGUGUCUCCCACUGGACCACCAGGGAAUCAGAUUCUCCCCUUCCUGGCUCAAGGUAAGUCUAUAUACUGUCACACCAGUAUAGCCCAUGUCACCCCGCCACCCCUCCUAUCAUUCCAAUAUGGCCCCUGCCACCCCGCCACAGUCCCUAUGCCCCAACUGCAACUUCUGUGACCCCACCACAGCUCCUGUCAUCCCACUAUUCACAAUAUUCACCCCACAAUAGCCCAUGUCCUCUCACCAGUCACAUUUCCCCUACUAUAGCCUUUGUCACCCCACUAUAGCUCUUAUCGUCCCCUGACUAUACCCACUAUCCACAACACAAUACUCCCUAUCAAUCCCACUAUAGUCCCUAACCUGCAUCUACAGUCUUAAUUUCCCUGCUAUAGGUCCUAUUGCUCUACUAUAACCCCAAUCUCCACCACAAUAGCCACGAUCUUCCACCCCCCUCUACAGACCAUGUUUCCCUAUAUAACUUAUAACCCCACAAAUAGACAACAUCACAAGCAGCCUCCACCCACAUAUACACACAUCCUCUCCCAACUUGGCCCCUCUUAGCAUCCAACCACCCACCUAGUCACAUGCACCAGUUGUAUUAAUGCAUGCAAUUGAAUACUCCAAACUUUGUAUAUAUGUUUUUAUAUAAAGAGAGAAAGAGGUUGCAUUGAAUAUUCUGGCCUUGGAGCAGCAAGGACUGUAAAUUCAGCCCUGUGUGUAUUGUAACGCUAUCUGUUUAGCCAUUCUAAAAAAUAAAACUCCAGUCCAUAGGCAGUUGUGCAGCAUGUGGACAUCUGAAAGCCUACCUGUUAUUGUAUGUAUGUUGUAUAAUAUGACCAUGUUAACUGGUAUCUUGUUUCCUGUCUGAGAAUUGAAC
RNAcentral lists this long non-coding RNA (10447 nucleotides) under Pelobates cultripes (western spadefoot toad). Lineage: Eukaryota; Metazoa; Chordata; Amphibia; Anura; Pelobatidae. The record is from RNAcentral.